This 296-nucleotide unclassified non-coding RNA is filed under the name Hevea brasiliensis (rubber tree). The record is from RNAcentral. Lineage: Eukaryota; Viridiplantae; Streptophyta; Magnoliopsida; Malpighiales; Euphorbiaceae.
UAACCGGCGGUUCCUGAAUCGUGGUCACCCCUAUCUCUCUCAAAUCAUUGGCUUCAAGCUUUGUGUUCUCAUUAAGUGGAGUCGGCUGGCUUAACUUGAUUGAGGAGUAGUUUUUCUUUGCUUUGGCCAAGUCUUGGUUGCUUUUGAAAGGAAGGUUUCUCCUAAUUUAGAGCUUGAUCAGUCCAUCUUGCACAGUGCUCGACGUCGGCAAUGCUUUACAAAGAAGAAGCUUCCAGCGAUCUUGUUGGAUGCUAGGGUUUAGGCUUUCAUGUUUUGGGUGCUACGCCUUUGGUUGG